CCUUGAUUAGGCCUCAAAGCAAGAAGUCCCUAGCUGCCACAUUUCAUCCAGACAAGCCAAACCUUCCAUCUGCGCUCCCAAAGCUUCUGCCUGAAAUCUUGCCCACUGGAAAUGAGAAAGCGUAUCAGCAAUUACGUUUAGGAAACCAGGCACAUGACGUGCACGAAAAACAACAUUAAAAUGCAUGCAACUCAAAACAGAAUACCGAAGCAGUCGUACAACCGGGACAGAAGAAG
Non-coding RNA from Pelobates cultripes (western spadefoot toad), 236 nucleotides. Lineage: Eukaryota; Metazoa; Chordata; Amphibia; Anura; Pelobatidae. The record is from the annotation of a GenBank genome assembly.